RNAcentral lists this ribosomal RNA (264 nucleotides) under uncultured archaeon. Its description in RNAcentral is "partial 16S ribosomal RNA". It matches the Rfam family "Archaeal small subunit ribosomal RNA", at positions 719 to 982 of the family's 1478-position model. The record is from RNAcentral.
ACACGACUACAUUAGAUACCCGUGUAGUCCAGGGUGUAAACGCUGCGGGCUUGGUGUUGGGGGUCCUUUGAGGGCGCCCAGUGCCGGAGAGAAGUUGUUAAGCCUGCUGCUUGGGGAGUACGUCCGCAAGGAUGAAACUUAAAGGAAUUGGCGGGGGAGCACCGCAACGGGAGGAGCGUGCGGUUCAACUGGAUUCAACGCCGGACAACUCGCCAGGAGCGACGGUUACAUGAAGGCCAGGCUGAUGACCUUGCCUGAUUUCCG